AGAGAAUAGAUACCCAGGUAGUCCACGCCGUAAACGAUGUGUGUUUGUCGCUGGGAGGUCCACCUCUCGGUGACGGAGCUAAACGCGUUAAGCACACCGCCUGGGAAGUACGGUCGCAAGAUUAAAACUCAAAGGAAUUGACGGGGACCCGCACAAGCGGUGGAGUAUGUGGUUUAAUUCGUCGCAACGCGAAGAACCUUACCAGGCCUUGACAUGCCUCCUUGGGAAGCCAGAGACGGCUUCUUUCACCUCGGGUGGGGAGGACACAGGUGCUGCAUGGCUGUUGUCAGCUCGUGUCGUGAGAUGUUGGGUUAAGUCCCGCAACGAGCGCAACCCCUCUCGUCAGUUGCCAUCAGGUAAUGCUGGGAACUCUGACGAUACUGCCGGUGAUAAGCCGGAGGAAGGCGGGGAUGACUUCAAGUCCUCAUGGCCCUUACGGCCUGGGCUACACACGUACUACAAUGGUGGUGACAGUGGGCAGCGAGCUAGCGAUAGCAAGCAAAUCCCU
This 508-nucleotide ribosomal RNA is filed under the name uncultured bacterium. RNAcentral describes it as "bacterial SSU rRNA". It matches the Rfam family "Bacterial small subunit ribosomal RNA", at positions 773 to 1276 of the family's 1533-position model. The record is from RNAcentral.